ACGGAGAGUUUGAUCCUGGCUCAGGACGAACGCUGGCGGCGUGCUUUACACAUGCAAGUCGAACGGUGAAGUCGGGGCUUGCCCCGCAACCUACCCCUGACUCCGGGAUAACUUCCCGAAAGGGAAGCUAAUACCGGAUAUGAACCUCUGCGGCAUCGCGGGGGUUGGAAAGUUCUUCGGUCAGGGAUGGGCUCGCGGCCUAUCAGCUAGUUGGUGGGGUAAUGGCCUACCAAGGCAACGACGGGUAGCCGGCCUGAGAGGGCGACCGGCCACA
This 274-nucleotide ribosomal RNA is filed under the name Micrococcales bacterium. RNAcentral describes it as "partial 16S ribosomal RNA". It matches the Rfam family "Bacterial small subunit ribosomal RNA", at positions 1 to 312 of the family's 1533-position model. The record is from RNAcentral. Lineage: Bacteria; Bacillati; Actinomycetota; Actinomycetes; Micrococcales.